AACCAUAUCUUCCUGCUCUCCUUCUGCACUCCAAAACCAAAUGUUGAGUGCUUGUUUUCCCAUCAGUAAGAAUCCUCCAAUCUUUUGAAGAAGCAAUAAUGGCACUGUGGGUGAACCUCAUGUGCUUGUUAGUUGUCCUCACAGGUGUCCAAUGUGAGGUUCAAUUGGUGGAAUCUGGAGGGGAUGUGAGAAGACCUGGAGAGUCCCUCCAUCUCUCCUGCCAAGCCUCUGGAUUCACCUUCAGCAGCUAUGAGAUGAGCUGGGUGAGACAGCCUCCUGGGAAAGGCCUUGAAUGGGUGGCAUACAUAUGGUCUUCAGAUCUUUACUACUCUGACAAAGUCAAGGGACGGUUCACCAUCUCCAGGGAUGAUGCCAAAAGCCAGCUGUAUCUGCAAAUGAACAGCCUCAAACCAGAGGACACAGCAGUCUAUUACUGUGUGAGAGACACAGUGAGAGGAAGGAUAUGUGAAGCCAAGCAAAAACUUCCUAUUUCAUAGAGCAGUUCUGAAUUUUGCCUUUGGACCAAUAUUCAGCUUCAUUAAUUUGGAAUCUCUCCUCAUGUCAUCAUUCAGCACUUCAACCUUCAUCCAUU
Non-coding RNA from Pantherophis guttatus, 592 nucleotides. The record is from the annotation of a RefSeq genome assembly. NCBI's taxonomy places the organism in Eukaryota, Metazoa, Chordata, Lepidosauria, Squamata, Colubridae.